AACAGAUAUACAGAAUCCUACCCCUAUCCUGUACACACCAUCUCCGACCAUCCCAACACACCAUGUGGGGUUAAAAACACCCAUCCAUCCCUACACACCAUGUAAUGUCGAUACGACACAUAACAGAUAAUAUGCAGCCAAGUUGCCAGAAUAUAGGUUAAAGGUUGCUGUACAGAUCACUUCCACCACAUAUGCAAAUCCC
RNAcentral lists this long non-coding RNA (202 nucleotides) under Gossypium raimondii (Peruvian cotton). RNAcentral's name for it is "long non-coding RNA (GRAI_LNC008206)". Lineage: Eukaryota; Viridiplantae; Streptophyta; Magnoliopsida; Malvales; Malvaceae. The record is from RNAcentral.